GCGCCUAUAGCUCAAUCGGUUAGAGCAACCGACUCAUAAUCGGUGGGUUCCAGGUUCAAGUCCUGGUGGGCGCA
This 74-nucleotide transfer RNA is filed under the name Elusimicrobiota bacterium. RNAcentral describes it as "Elusimicrobia bacterium tRNA-Ile". It matches the Rfam family "tRNA". From Rfam's summary of the family: Transfer RNA (tRNA) molecules are approximately 80 nucleotides in length. Their secondary structure includes four short double-helical elements and three loops (D, anti-codon, and T loops). Lineage: Bacteria; Pseudomonadati; Elusimicrobiota. RNAcentral also lists the same sequence under 6 other names. The record is from RNAcentral.